Molecule: ribosomal RNA, 645 nt
Filed under: uncultured Hyphomicrobiales bacterium
Lineage: Bacteria; Pseudomonadati; Pseudomonadota; Alphaproteobacteria; Hyphomicrobiales
Description: bacterial SSU rRNA
Rfam family: Bacterial small subunit ribosomal RNA
Source: RNAcentral
AGUGGCAGACGGGUGAGUAAUGUAUAGGAAUCUACCUAGUAGUACGGAAUAAUUGUUGGAAACGGCAACUAAUACCGUAUACGCCCUACGGGGGAAAAAUUUAUUGCUAUUAGAUGAGCCUAUAUUAGAUUAGUUAGUUGGUGAGGUAAAGGCUUACCAAGACAAUGAUCUAUAGCUGAUCUGAGAGGAUGAUCAGCCACACUGGAACUGAGAUACGGUCCAGACUCCUACGGGAGGCAGCGGUGGGGAAUAUUGGACAAUGGGCGAAAGCCUGAUCCAGCCAUGCCGCAUGAGUGAAGAAGGCCUUCGGGUUGUAAAGCUCUUUUAGUGAGGAAGAUAAUGACGGUACUCACAGAAGAAGUCCUGGCUAACUCCGUGCCAGCAGCCGCGGUAAUACGGAGAGGGCUAGCGUUAUUCGGAAUCAUUGGGCGUAAAGGGCGCGUAGGCGGGUUAGUAAGUUAAAAGUGAAAUCCCAAGGCUCAACCUUGGAACUGCUUUUAAAACUGCUAGUCUAGAGAUUGAAAGAGGAUAGAGGAAUUCCUAGUGUAGAGAUGAAAUUCGUAAAUAUUAGGAGGAACACCAGUGGCGAANGCGUCUAUCUGGUUCAAAUCUGACGCUGANGCGCGAAGGCGUGGGGAGCAAACA